This 203-nucleotide long non-coding RNA is filed under the name Ananas comosus (pineapple). Its description in RNAcentral is "long non-coding RNA (ACOM_LNC010260)". The record is from RNAcentral. Lineage: Eukaryota; Viridiplantae; Streptophyta; Magnoliopsida; Poales; Bromeliaceae.
CUGAUGCGGAGGAAGUGGGGACCUCCGUUACUUCUGGAUCUAGUGGGAUUCGUGAGUUGCAGGAUCAGCUUGCGAUGCUGACAGAUCUGGUGACACAGCAGGCUGCGGCAGCGUAACAACAGAUGGAUGCUGCGCGCCGACAAGAGGAAAGGAUGAAAUGGUUAGAGGAUCUAUUACUGUGGCAGACGACGGACAGAGAGAUU